Molecule: ribosomal RNA, 460 nt
Filed under: uncultured bacterium
Lineage: Bacteria
Description: bacterial SSU rRNA
Rfam family: Bacterial small subunit ribosomal RNA
Source: RNAcentral
UUUACGGGAGGCAGCAGUAGGGAAUAUUGGGCAAUGGGCGCAAGCCUGACCCAGCCAUGCCGCGUGCAGGAAGAAGGCGUUAUGCGUUGUAAACUGCUUUUAUACAGGAAGAAACGACCCUUGCGAGGGGCAUUGACGGUACUGUAUGAAUAAGCACCGGCUAACUCCGUGCCAGCAGCCGCGGUAAUACGGAGGGUGCAAGCGUUGUCCGGAUUUAUUGGGUUUAAAGGGUGCGCAGGUGGUUUAUUAAGUCAGUGGUGAAAGACGGUCGCUCAACGAUUGCAGUGCCAUUGAUACUGGUAGACUUGAGUAAAGUAGAGGUGGGCGGAAUUGAUAGUGUAGCGGUGAAAUGCAUAGAUAUUAUCAAGAACUCCAAUUGCGUAGGCAGCUCACUUGGCUUUUACUGACACUCAUGCACGAAAGUGUGGGUAUCAAACAGGAUUAGAAACCCGAGUAGUCC